GCCUCUGUAACUCAGCCUGGUAGAGUGCGUGCAUGGUAAGCACGAAGUCGUGGGUUCGAAUCCCAUCGGAGGCU
Molecule: transfer RNA, 74 nt
Filed under: Candidatus Micrarchaeota archaeon CG10_big_fil_rev_8_21_14_0_10_59_7
Lineage: Archaea; Nanobdellati; Microcaldota
Also listed under: 1 other name
Description: tRNA-Thr
Rfam family: tRNA
About the family: Transfer RNA (tRNA) molecules are approximately 80 nucleotides in length. Their secondary structure includes four short double-helical elements and three loops (D, anti-codon, and T loops). Further hydrogen bonds mediate the characteristic L-shaped molecular structure. tRNAs have two regions of fundamental functional importance: the anti-codon, which is responsible for specific mRNA codon recognition, and the 3' end, to which the tRNAs corresponding amino acid is attached (by aminoacyl-tRNA synthetases). tRNAs cope with the degeneracy of the genetic code in two manners: having more than one tRNA (with a specific anti-codon) for a particular amino acid; and 'wobble' base-pairing, i.e. permitting non-standard base-pairing at the 3rd anti-codon position.
Source: RNAcentral